GGGGAUGUAGCUCAACUGGGAGAGCACUGGCUUUGCAAGCCAGGGGUUGCCGGUUCAAGCCCGGUCAUCUCCACCA
Molecule: transfer RNA, 76 nt
Filed under: Planctomycetes bacterium SM23_32
Lineage: Bacteria; Pseudomonadati; Planctomycetota
Also listed under: 1 other name
Description: tRNA-Ala
Rfam family: tRNA
About the family: Transfer RNA (tRNA) molecules are approximately 80 nucleotides in length. Their secondary structure includes four short double-helical elements and three loops (D, anti-codon, and T loops). Further hydrogen bonds mediate the characteristic L-shaped molecular structure. tRNAs have two regions of fundamental functional importance: the anti-codon, which is responsible for specific mRNA codon recognition, and the 3' end, to which the tRNAs corresponding amino acid is attached (by aminoacyl-tRNA synthetases). tRNAs cope with the degeneracy of the genetic code in two manners: having more than one tRNA (with a specific anti-codon) for a particular amino acid; and 'wobble' base-pairing, i.e. permitting non-standard base-pairing at the 3rd anti-codon position.
Source: RNAcentral